AGAGUUUGAUCAUGGCUCAGGACGAACGCUGGCGGCGCGCCUAACACAUGCAAGUCGAACGAGAGAGAGGAAGCUUGCUUCCUCAAUCGAGUGGCGAACGGGUGAGUAACGCGUGAGGAACCUGCCUCAAAGAGGGGGACGAACAGUUGGAAACGACUGCUAAUACCGCAUAAGCCCACAGGUCGGCAUCGACCAGAGGGAAAAGGAGCAAUCCGCUUUGAGAUGGCCUCGCGUCCGAUUAGCUAGUUGGUGAGGUAAUGGCCCACCAAGGCAACGAUCGGUAGCCGGACUGAGAGGUUGAACGGCCACAUUGGGACUGAGACACGGCCCAGACUCCUACGGGAGGCAGCA
This 351-nucleotide ribosomal RNA is filed under the name uncultured bacterium. RNAcentral's name for it is "bacterial SSU rRNA". It matches the Rfam family "Bacterial small subunit ribosomal RNA", at positions 8 to 353 of the family's 1533-position model. The record is from RNAcentral.